The sequence is a non-coding RNA, 401 nucleotides long. It matches the Rfam family "transfer-messenger RNA". From Rfam's summary of the family: Bacterial tmRNA, also known as 10Sa RNA or SsrA, is named for its dual tRNA and mRNA-like properties. Its role is to liberate the mRNA from a stalled ribosome. The record is from Rfam.
GGGGAUGACCGGAUUUGACAGCGGGUUGAGAUGGUACGUAAGCACGUGGAGCGUUGGCCGUUGGCUCCCUAAUCUCAUCGGUCAAAGAAUUAUCUGGCGAAAAACAAUACGCUCUCGCUGCCUGAUCGAAGCACAGUAGAUGUAAGGCUUUAUUCUGUUACAAGGUAACGGAACGAGACAUUGCUCGGGAAUUGUGUUUCCGAAAUAGCCCGAAAAAGCAAUGCGGUUUCAUCGGAAAUAGUCAAGUCGCGCCUCAUCGGCUUGAUGAAAUUUCAGAGGAUAAGGUUAUGAUGGGUGGUCCGGGUCUUGUCAUAACACGAAAAUAAAAGUCCGGAAUAAACGUGUAGAAAGCGUAUGGUUUCCCUGUUUGGACGAGGGUUCAACUCCCUCCAUCUCCACUU